RNAcentral lists this ribosomal RNA (119 nucleotides) under Aegilops tauschii subsp. strangulata. The record is from RNAcentral. Lineage: Eukaryota; Viridiplantae; Streptophyta; Magnoliopsida; Poales; Poaceae.
GGAUGCGAUCAUACCAGCACUAAAGCAUCGGAUUCCAUCAGAACUCCGAAGUUAAGCGUGCUUGGGCGAGAGUAGUACUAUGAUGGGUGACCUCCUGGGAAGUCCUCGUGUUGCAUACU